AAACAGGUGGAGCUGAAAUGAAUGCCAGGGAUUCAGUACCUUGGUUGUCGGUGUGCGGUAGGUUGGCAUCUGCAAAGGAGCCGGCUUGCUGUAUAAACUGAUGACUAUCGUAUGCACUUUCCUGGUGUUGCAACUGCGACCGAUUGUCGGUUGGUUUGUCGUCCUUCGAAAGGUAGUGCCUGUCUUCGGAUGGGCAUGUUAUAGUCUGGGACAUUGAACCUGACUGACGAUUGGAGCUGGCGCAGCGCCAUCGGCGUCGGCGGAUGAGUUAAUUGCUCAUUGGGUAUGACUGGUCAACAGUCUGCUCUUUGGUGUAGUCGGCUUUGUCUGUCGGGGCUGGUCGUUGCAAUAGUCUGCAGUGUCAAACUAGGUCAUCCACCUGACCCGUCUUGAAACACGGACCAAGAAGUGCAGCACAUGUGCAAGUCAAAGAGUUCUACGAAACUCCACGGCGCAAUAAAAGUGACGGUCUGUCUUGGGCAGUCCGAGGUGAGAUCCUGGAGGCUUCGGCUGAAGGGCGCAUCAUCGGCCCGUGUCAAUAUUCUUCUGAAUAGAUGCGGAGCAAGAGCACAUGUGCUGCGACCCGAAAGAUGGUGACCUAUGCUUGUGCAGGUUGAAGCCAGAAGAAAUUCUGGUGGAGGACCGAAGCGGUUCUGACGUGCAAAUCGAUCGUCAGACAUGGGUAUAGGGGCGAAAGACUAAUCGAACCAUCUAGUAGCUGGUUCCUCCUGAAGUUUCCCUCAGGAUAGCUGGAGUUCAAUGAAGCAGUCGUAUCCGGUAAAGCGAAUGAUUAGAGGUCCUGGGAGCUAAUAGUUCUCAACCUAUUCUCAAACUUUUAAUGGGUACGAUGUCUGACCAGAUUAAUUUUUGGUUGGGCCGUGGAUGCGAACUCCAAGUGGGCCAUUUUUGGUAAGCAGAACUGGCGCUGUGGGAUGAACCAAACGUCUGGUUAAAGUGCCUAACGCAACGCUCAUGAGACACCAGAAAAGGUGUUGGUUGAUAUUGACAGUAGGACGGUGGCCAUGGAAGUUGGAAUCCGCUAAGGAGUGUGUAACAACUCACCUACCGAAUCAACCAGCCCUGAAAAUGGAUGGCGCUGUAGCGUUGGACUUAUACCGGACCGACAUUGUUAACAAUUAACAUGACGCAAUGUCGAGUAAGGAGGUCACCGUGGUUGCGACGAAGCAUAGUAAGUGAUUACGUGUGGAGCGGCCACGGCAGCAGAUCU
RNAcentral lists this ribosomal RNA (1228 nucleotides) under Pseudostomum klostermanni. RNAcentral describes it as "eukaryotic LSU rRNA". It matches the Rfam family "Eukaryotic large subunit ribosomal RNA", at positions 417 to 1451 of the family's 3401-position model. Lineage: Eukaryota; Metazoa; Platyhelminthes; Prolecithophora; Pseudostomidae. The record is from RNAcentral.